Molecule: long non-coding RNA, 3024 nt
Organism: Lycium ferocissimum
Lineage: Eukaryota; Viridiplantae; Streptophyta; Magnoliopsida; Solanales; Solanaceae
Exons: 5
Source: RefSeq, a predicted model, not a curated record
UUCGGUCCUUUCUACGGCAACUUCUUCUUUUCCCCUUCGUCGAUUUUGGUGAUGAGAAGCUUUCACGGUAUGCAUCGCUCGCUUGAACUCAUAGUUGAAGUCACUGGAUUUGGGUUAGGGUUUUUGAAAGCCAAUUUUGGGGUUAUGGGUUCGGAUUUCUUCAUAGAUGGUGAUUUCAAAAGCUUCAAAAUCUGACGUUAGGGUUUAAUUUUCAGAAGUCUUGGAGAAUUGGGCCAUAACUCAGGGCUAUCUCAGUACUAAAAAGAGUUGUGGAUGGCGUUCAAGUAAUCCAUGGGAGAGACCAAAUGAAGGCUAGUCGAGCAAAUGUCUCAGAUCAGUACCCGCGAGGUGGCAACAAUCAUGGGGAGAAAAACACGACAUCUAAAUCAGAUUUACAUUCUUAAAGUUAUUGGCAUCAAUACUUGGUGGCUACCGCAAUUUCAUAGAAAAUACAGCAACACAGGUCUUCAACUCUCAGGUUUAGCUUCGAGCAAGGAUGCUCAUAUGUUCUGCUACUAGCAAGGGUGCUGUUGGUGUUAAUGAGAAGGAAUACAAGUCAAACCCCAACAUUGUUUCUAGUGUUAGUUGUACCACUAACUACUUUGCUCCUUUGGUAAAGGUUCCCUUUCGUGCCUUGUUCUUCAUUUUAACAUUUGAACCUGUAAGUGAAAUUUUAAUAAUUCCUCAAUUUGAUGCUACUUUACGGGUUAUUCAUGACAAAUUCAAAACUAUUUGAGGGUCUUAUGACCACAGUCCACUCCAUAACAGUUCAGAAGUACUACUCCUAUGUUAACUUUUAAUACAACUUCUGUUGUUUUGUACCUAAAUUGUUGCCAUAUUUAUAAUUCAUCACUCAGAGAAAACUGUUGAUGGACCAUCAUUCGAGAAUUGGAGGGGUGGAAGAGCUACUUCAUUCAACAUUAUCCCUAGUAAUACUAAAGCUGUUAAGGCUGUCCGAAAGGUAAUACCAAUGGAAUGUUAACUGGGAUAUCUUUCCAAGUUCCAACUGUUGAUAUUCUUGUAGUUGAUCUCACCGUGAGGUUGGAGAAAGAACAAAUGAUAUCAAGGCCGAUAUCAAGUAAGAUUGUGUACUUUACUCCUUUGACCAUCCCUCUUGCCUGAAAAAAUAUCAAUAACUUGUGUAUUUUAUUCUAUCCUGGCAUGAAUACACUACAAGCCUCCCUCUGCGGAUCUAAUUUAUGCAAACAAAGGAGUAAUAGUGAUGGGAAAAAUAGUAAUAGAGGACUUAUGGCCCUGUGAGCUGCUCAUUUAUAUUUCUACUUUGACAAUUUAUUAGCGAGGAGUCUGAAGGAAUCUUGAAUCGAAUUCUAGGUUGCACUGAAAUUCCCUUUAUUGUAUUGACCCAUCUUGUACCACACUAGAGAGUGGACGUGUUAAUUUGAUUUAUUUGUAAUUAAUGAAAGUGAUAUGCAAAAUAGUUAACUAGUGUCCAAGUAGCUAAUAGGGAAAAGUAUCUAUAAUUAAUCAUCAUACUUUUGUUUCUUGCAAGUACAACUUCAUCCGAAUUGCAUAAAAGUUUUAAAUAGGGACUCGUAGAAAGGUCAAGUCUAGGUUUACAUGUUCAACUGAUCUUACAUGUAAGUCAUUUUUUUUUUACAAUAUCUAUGGCCAUAUAAAAUGGAAGAGUGGAAUACAUAAGUGGAACUCCUAUUCACAAACUUUGAAUUUGUAAAUAAAGCUAUAUUCUAUGAAUGUGCACCCUUCUGGUAUGUUCCUAUUUUAGCAGGUCUUUUUUCUGUUAAAUAUGUGGGUUGUGCUUGUGCAUUUUUCAUAUUUAGUAAAGCUUUUGAGAACAAUCGCAUUUGUAGUGACCUGAAAGUAUAUAAGCAGUUAUUUUCAAGUUUUAUUCAUCAUUUUUUACAUGACUAGAGGUCAUGUGACUGUAGAUUGAGAUAAUUUUAUUUGUCUUGUAAAAUGUGUAACUUUCCUGUUCUAAUAAUCUUAAGUGUGAAAUAACCAGGCAAAAACCAAGUCACAAAUGUAGUUGUAUUUGUCGAGAAGUAGUUUUAAGUCCCUUUACAACAUUAGUAUCUGGAAAAAUAAAGGUCUAAUUCUAGGAAAAAUUGGGAUGAAAAUGAUUAGUACUUAAUAGUAUUUUGUUAAUAGAUUUGCUUUAGAUGCAUAAUGCUUAACGUAGAGCAAUCAUGAUGAUAAAUUCGCCCAUCUAUUUUUGCUGGCGUGGUCCUUUGGUCAGUCUGUUAAACUGCUUAGUUCUUUUUUUGUUUUUUUGAUAAUCAAUACUGCUUAGUUCUUUUUAGUUCUUUUUUACCAACUGGUAAAACAACCUGAAUCUCAUGAUGAUACAGCUGAUAUGUGUUAAAUUUGACAAUAUCAUCAUCAUCAGCCUAUGGACUCUCACUUUUGAAGAGAUUUAUGCUAACUGUCUGCCCCAAACUCGAGCAUUGCCAUGUGUUUAUAUUGAGUGGCCUUGUGUUUCUUAUUUUCUUUUGGUUGUAUGUCGGUAAAGUACCUUAUCUAAAAACUUUCCCUUCUAUGCAAUUCGAAUGAAGCUGAAUGAAGUAGACAAACAAGCACAUGACAUUCUAGCCAAAACCCCUCAAGAGACACGAGCAACUGUCGUCAUUCCCUCUUAGCACUUUGAGUCGAAGGUGAAAGCGAGACCCUAAUUGAAGCAGUUUUUGAAGCCCCAAUUUAUUCAAAAGAUAGAGGUCAAGAAUUGUGAGCAAUAGUGAUCACAACAAUAAUUACAUAUGAUCAGUUGUAUGUUGCAACUCUAAUGUAUUAUGAGACCAUGGAAGGAAAGAUGAAGAGAAGACUUUAUGAUCUUGGGUCUCAAGGGAAACGCUAUUAUGAGCUUGGUCCUACUUUCGAUCCUGAUGAACAUCACUCUCCAGCAGCACAUUAGUUAGCUUUGUCUUUCAAAUUAUAAUAUAUCAGUUGAAGAACAAUUAUGAACAUUGAUGCAUUAGGAUUGUAUUUUUGGAUCUACUUGUUAAUCUUUAGAUUACUAUUUAUAUGAAAUCAAGGUUCUUUUAAUGCUUA